RNAcentral lists this long non-coding RNA (875 nucleotides) under Cyanistes caeruleus (blue tit). RNAcentral describes it as "lncRNA (ENSCCEG00000013999.1)". The record is from RNAcentral. Lineage: Eukaryota; Metazoa; Chordata; Aves; Passeriformes; Paridae.
CAUCAACGUAGUUCAAGUAUCCCUGUCUCAGGGUAAAGAAGAAAACAGAAAGUCAUGAUAUCUUUUCUAAGGCAAAAAUCUGCACCUGGACCAAAAAAUCAUUUAUUCCAGCGUCACCUUCCUAACAGUAUCUGCCUGAGAAAGGCCAUGUGAACAAUGUACAGGGUAAUAAUGUUCUCCCUGCUUGUUCUUAAAGUUUCUGCUACUGGUUUUGAAAGAGGAUGAGCAAAAUUAAAUAUCCAGGGUGAACCUCACCAUAGGAUCUGCAGUUUUGCUUACCCUUGGCUGCAGAAGAGCCCUCAGCCUUGCAUAGAUGGAAGUAAACAGGGAGAAAGGUGCCAUCCAGACCAGCUGAACUACAGGGUGAUGAUGGAGCAGAGCAGCAGUCACACCGUGGGGGUCUCAACUGCUUUUUGUGUCCUGGGAAAUGAGAGCAAUUCUUUCUAUCAUAUUCAGAAAGAAAAUGAAAAGGACGUGAUGGCUCCAGAGCAGCGUUUUGCAGAACUCCUGACUCGGCACAGGAAGAUGGGUGGGGUGACACCCCCGGCCCGCAUCUCUUCGCUCGUGUAGCACCGAGCAGGGAACCCCCUGGAGCUCCACCUCAGCAGCACUGCUCACCUGGCCAAGGUCUGCAGCAAAGACGCAGUGCAGGAAGGAGAACUUGGUGCCUCUGACUCGCUUGAGGUCUUCUGCCUUUUCAGCAUCGUCCAAGAGGCUUGGUUCUGCUUCUAAAUCUAUAAAAUUACACUCAUUUCCUACUAAAAAAUAAUCCUCUCCACCCAUCCACAUACUGAGCACACUAAGAGAUCCUUAGCUAUUUCUCUGACUACAUCAAAUUUUUUUUCUAACACGAAAUAAAUAUCUUUUCAAAAUCA